Tetranychus urticae (two-spotted spider mite) is the source of this 1579-nucleotide long non-coding RNA. RefSeq lists it as uncharacterized. The record is from RefSeq and is a predicted model, not a curated record. NCBI's taxonomy places the organism in Eukaryota, Metazoa, Arthropoda, Arachnida, Trombidiformes, Tetranychidae.
AAGAGGCUUUUAUAAAGAAGUUGCUUAUAACUAGAUUAGUUUAGAGAUUAUUAGAGUUUUGAUUUAAUUUAACCCAAUUUGAAUGUUUACCUAAGUAAAUUGUAUCUUUAACCAAGCAAAGAGCAACUAUAAUUGUUAUAAUCAAAACAGUGUUCAUUGUAAACUUUGAAGUGUAAAUAUUGAAACAAUAUUUCUAUGGAAAAAAUAGAACAACCGAAAAACAGAAUGAAAUUGUGAGAAGAAACUGACUCAACAAUCCAAUUGAUCAUCAACAUUCCAUCAAUUCCCAUGAAAGUAAUACAAUCAUAUUUGGUUUGGCAACUUGUAACACCAAUGGAUGGAUAAUAAAAUGAUUGUAAUUUGUGUCCAUCAUCUUUAUUUUGGGAAUUGAAGAUUCAAAGUAAAGAUGUUGAAGAAACAUUCGGAUUCAUGAUGAUCACAUGUUAGCACUGACAAGUUUCAAGUGUUCCCAAGAUGAGGCCAAUUUGGAUGAUAAUGAUGAAGAUUGAAAGUCGUAAAAUGGCAACACAAAGGCGAUUAAUGUUUAAAUUACAAUCUCAUUAACAGUGAAUCUUGCCAAUGGUUGGCUAUUACUGUUGCCCGUAAAACAUCUCAAUUGUCCGAUCCAACAAUCAAAGUAAUCAAUUGGAUUUAAUGGUUUAUUUGCAUGUUUCAAAUGGUCAUCCGGAUGAAAUUGAAAAAAAGUCCAAGAUUGAAGCAGAAUAUUGGAAAGCAUUGGACAAAGCUAAACAAGUCUCAAUAUUGUUAACUUGUUUAUUCAAUGUCACCUCUUAAUGUUUAAAUCCUAUCUGUUAAUUUGAAUAGUUUGCUUUUGAUGUUCAUGAUAGCAAGGAUUCCAGGAAUCGGUUAACCAGUCUGUACAUAAUAGCAGCAAAAAUGAUGAUGAUGAUGAUGUGGAUGGUAGAUCGACCCUUGUACAGGUCGCAACAAAUUAGCUUACAUCCUUUACAAUACACUUCUUUAUUCUUCGUCUUUUGUCUUUUCCCUGAGAAUCUACUUUGAUUAUGAUGAUUUUGAUGAUGCCAAUGAAGAGUAGGAAGAUGAAUACUCCUAUGGAAAAGUAAAGGUUGAAACUCUUGGGUUUAAACGUCUUGAAACGGCCUUAGGAUCUUGCUGUUGUUUUAAACGAAAAACUGGAAAUACUUUUUUCUCUCAAAACGGAAUCAAAGACCAUUGGAGAUGGGACGAUCAUUAUUAUCAUCAGCAUCUUCGUCAUGACCACCAAAGCAUCACUUUCAUCUACAAUUACUAAUAGUGAGAACUUGAAGUGUUUUUCGCCUUUUAACUCAUAUUUUGAAGUCUUUCUUUCAUCACUAAUUUUCACCAAUCUAUCAAUGUUUGUUUUCGCCUUUCAAGACACCAACAAAAUGUUUGAGUUGAAAACUUACACAUUGUUAGUUGAUCUUUGAUUUUGAUGGCCUUUAAACCUUUAAAUCUAACACUAACUUUAACCUCUCAGUUGUAACAACCUUAAAAAGGCUCAACAUGCCUUCACGUAGCAAUAUUUUCAAUACAUUGCAGUACAACAAUAAUACCUUAACAGCCGAGCUCUUCGUCA